RNAcentral lists this long non-coding RNA (850 nucleotides) under Numida meleagris (helmeted guineafowl). RNAcentral's name for it is "lncRNA (ENSNMEG00000001433.1)". The record is from RNAcentral. Lineage: Eukaryota; Metazoa; Chordata; Aves; Galliformes; Numididae.
CGGCCCUGAGGGGGGAGGGAGGGCCGAGCUUUGGGGCUGGAGGGGAUAUAGCCCAGGGUCGUAGCUCAGGUCGGAGCGGGCCUUUAAGGUCACGGAACGGUUGGGUUGGAAGAGACCCCAGGGCCCUCCCCAGCCCCACUCCUCUGUGGGCCGGCUGCCCCCCGCCAGCACAGGGCCCCAGGGCCCGCCCGAGCCUGAGAAAACGCUGAGAAAGAAUCCGCCUCCCAGUGACUCAGUGCUAUCUCCACCCACCACCAGCUCAGACCCGCUCCCCCGGGGAGGAGAACAGCGGAAAAUAUGAAUUCCAAUUGGAAUUCCUGGCGUCACCCCAAGGGGAAAACAGGCACCGAGGCACCGGCACGUAGAUCUCCUGCUUGCUGCGGUCACCAGAGGGCACACGUCCGCUGCCGUGACAUGGAAAAAAGUUCCCAAUUUGGGCUGUUUGCUGAGCUCAACCCGGGCGAGGAGGAGCGUUCAGCCAACGGCGUGGGCAUAAAGUGGAGCACGAACGGCGUCCAACGAAACGUCGGCGGCGUAAAAUGAAACGUCGAUGGGCGUCAGACGAAACCCCUGUGGCGUGAAGUCAAACGUGGACGGCGCAAAAGGAAACCUGGACGGCACAAAAUGGAAGCUGGAUGACGUAAAACCGAACCUGGAUGAUGUAAAGCGGGACCUGGAUGACAUAAAACCGAACCUGGAUGGCGUAGAGCGGGACCUGGAUGACGUAAAACCGAACCUGGAUGACGUAAAGCGGGACCUGGAUGACACAGAGCGGGACCUGGAUGACAUAAAACCAAACCUGGAUGACAUAAAGCGGGACGUGGAUGACGUAAAACCGAACCUGGAUGAC